RNAcentral lists this ribosomal RNA (253 nucleotides) under uncultured bacterium. Its description in RNAcentral is "partial 16S ribosomal RNA". It matches the Rfam family "Bacterial small subunit ribosomal RNA", at positions 524 to 776 of the family's 1533-position model. The record is from RNAcentral.
UACGUAGGGGGCAAGCGUUGUCCGGAUUUAUUGGGCGUAAAGAGCGUGUAGGCGGUUUGGUAGGUCCGCUGUGAAAACUCGAGGCUCAACCUCGAGACGCCGGUGGAAACCAUCAGACUAGAGUCCGGAAGAGGAGAGUGGAAUUCCCGGUGUAGCGGUGAAAUGCGCAGAUAUCGGGAAGAACACCUAUGGCGAAGGCAGCUCUCUGGGACGGUACUGACGCUGAGGCGCGAAAGCUAGGGGAGCAAACAGG